Molecule: ribosomal RNA, 293 nt
Filed under: Cryptosporidium sp. rat genotype II
Lineage: Eukaryota; Apicomplexa; Conoidasida; Eucoccidiorida; Cryptosporidiidae
Description: partial 18S ribosomal RNA
Rfam family: Eukaryotic small subunit ribosomal RNA
Source: RNAcentral
UAGUGACAAGAAAUAACAAUACAGGACCUUUCGGUUUUGUAAUUGGAAUGAGUUAAGUAUAAACCCCUUUACAAGUAUCAAUUGGAGGGCAAGUCUGGUGCCAGCAGCCGCGGUAAUUCCAGCUCCAAUAGCGUAUAUUAAAGUUGUUGCAGUUAAAAAGCUCGUAGUUGGAUUUCUGUUAAUUACUUUAUAUAAUCUGCACUUUCGUGUAGUUAUAUAGUAUUAGCAUAAUUCAUAUUACUAUUUUAGUAUAUGAAAUUUUACUUUGAGAAAAUUAGAGUGCUUAAAGCAGG